GCAGUGGGAGCACAGGUUUACCUGUGUGACUGCGUACCUUUUGUAUAAUGGGUCAGCGACUUAUAUUCUGUAGCAAGGUUAACCGUAUAGGGGAGCCGUAGGGAAACCGAGUCUUAACCGGGCGUUAAGUUGCAGGGUAUAGACCCGAAACCCGGUGAUCUAGCCAUGGGCAGGUUGAAGGUUGGGUAACACUAACUGGAGGACCGAACCGACUAAUGUUGAAAAAUUAGCGGAUGACCUGUGGCUGGGGGUGAAAGGCCAAUCAAACCGGGAGAUAGCUGGUUCUCCCCGAAAGCUAUUUAGGUAGCGCCUCGUGAAUUCAUCUCCGGGGGUAGAGCACUGUUUCGGCUAGGGGGCCAUCCCGGCUUACCAACCCGAUGCAAACUGCGAAUACCGGAGAAUGUUAUCACGGGAGACACACGGCGGGUGCUAACGUCCGUCGUGAAGAGGGAAACAACCCAGACCGCCAGCUAAGGUCCCAAAGUCAUGGUUAAGUGGGAAACGAUGUGGGAAGGCCCAGACAGCCAGGAUGUUGGCUUAGAAGCAGCCAUCAUUUAAAGAAAGCGUAAUAGCUCACUGGUCGAGUCGGCCUGCGCGGAAGAUGUAACGGGGCUAAACCAUGCACCGAAGCUGCGGCAGCGAACGUAUCACCCAAGACAACUUUACGGAGUUGACGAUUGACGGAGCGAAGCGACGUCAAAGCGUUCAUUAAAGUCGAGUUGGCUUAGGGAUACGUUCGUUGGGUAGGGGAGCGUUCUGUAAGCCUGUGAAGGUGUGUCGUGAGGCAUGCUGGAGGUAUCAGAAGUGCGAAUGCUGACAUAAGUAACGAUAAAGCGGGUGAAAAGCCCGCUCGCCGGAAGACCAAGGGUUCCUGUCCAACGUUAAUCGGGGCAGGGUGAGUCGACCCCUAAGGCGAGGCCGAAAGGCGUAGUCGAUGGGAAACGGGUUAAUAUUCCCGUACUUGGUGUUACUGCGAAGGGGGGACGGAGAAGGCUAUGUUGGCCGGGCGACGGUUGUCCCGGUUUAAGCGUGUAGGUGUGUGUUCCAGGUAAAUCCGGUUCACUUUAACACUGAGGCGUGACGACGAGGCACUACGGUGCUGAAGCAACAAAUGCCCUGCUUCCAGGAAAAGCCUCUAAGCAUCAGGUAACACGAAAUCGUACCCCAAACCGACACAGGUGGUCAGGUA
RNAcentral lists this ribosomal RNA (1189 nucleotides) under Salmonella enterica subsp. enterica serovar Typhimurium. RNAcentral's name for it is "partial 23S ribosomal RNA". It matches the Rfam family "Bacterial large subunit ribosomal RNA", at positions 570 to 1673 of the family's 2925-position model. Lineage: Bacteria; Pseudomonadati; Pseudomonadota; Gammaproteobacteria; Enterobacterales; Enterobacteriaceae. The record is from RNAcentral.